GUUCCACAGAGACUGGGCUCGUAUAACGCCGCAGUACGGGGAGUAGGAAAAGGCCCUCUUAAAGAAAACGUAUUGAGCUGUAUGCAUGUUCCGUGUGCGAAUACAGGCGGUUAGAUGCGAUGCUGUCUGACACUGGAAAGAAUUGAAGGAGCUAAAGAUAAGGUUAUGGGAGAGAGCAGCAGGUAUGAAGAUGCUCUUGUCAGGAACUUUAUUUUGGGAGUGAGAGGAGGGGAGAAACAGGAGGGUGGGAGCUGAGAGGCUCAGACACGGAGCGGGUUAGGCUCUAGCAUCAGCUGAUGGCCGUUGCCCUCAUUCUGGGAGGAGAUGCCCCGUUCCUCAGCGUUCUGUUGGAGUGAGCGCACGAGGCAGCACCUUGCCGUUCCAGCACCCAGCUUCCUGCCCGUGGCAGCCUUAGAUACCGCAGUGACUGGAUUGUCACUUGGAGAGACGUCCAUUUUGAGCACCUUGGAGCGCCCACAUCAGUGCUGCUCUUUGGAUCAGCAGUGUGCUUUUGGAGCACAUCUCCCACACUGUGCUUGGACAUCUGGCACAGAGCAGCCUCACAGCCGCCCAUUUCAUGGCAUUCAGAUGACACCGGGCUGGAGGAAGGCUCCAGUGCAUAUUUUGACCUGAGCUUUCAACCAAAGUGCUGUCGUGCAAGCUGUUCUCAUCAGGAAAGCAGGCUGACCUACUCGAGAGAAUUCCUGCUCCUCUUCCACAAAGACUUGUCACAGAACACAGGGAGAAUGAAACAGUAACUACAGACAGGUGAAACUUUCCAAGGCAACUGACAACAGCAACUGAAGCACAAAUCUUAGCAAUGGUGAACUUCUAUUAUGGGACACAUACUUGAAUGAAGACCCAGGGCUUUUGAAAUGUGUUUUAGACAAUUUUUUAUUUAGAAGAUGGAGAAAUUAGUGGAAACACUAUUUAAAAUCUUGAUUAAUAAAAGAAAAUGGCUGAGAAUAUAAAGCUGGCAUGAUCAGUGGGAAAGGAGAGAGCAGUUACUGAAAGGCAUCAACAGAACAACAAACCUUCUAACAUAGAAGGCACAUGGGGAGAGAGCAUUAACAACCGACACGAACAAGAGUGUAAUGCAGCACUAAUGGCAGUGUUAAAAUAUACAAGCAGACUUUCCAGAUUGUGCAAAAAGUGGAAUCAAGCACAUAGUUAAGAAUUAGCACUGCAGAAUAACAUGGGCAGGCAGGAACAAAAUGAGAGGCGGAAUUAGUACCUGAGAAGGAUAUAGGAACACGUUACAUCUAUAUGCACAGGAAAUAAAAGCAAAACAAGUGAAAAUAUUGUUCACUGCUGAUAGAAAAAGAAGGCACACGCACACAGAAACCAGCACGUCAGUUUCUUCAGCCUUCAGAACUGCCUUGCAACCUGUUACUGAACCAAAUGUUUUUGGGAGGUGACAGCAACAAGUAGCAGCAGGAAAGAACCCAUUACAUUGAAGUGGUUACGUGGUUACACAGGUUGGCAGCACUUGGAAAACACACUCCAAAUUGUUCAGGAUGCCAGCCAGAGAACUUCUGAAAUUAUUGGCGUGUAGCUACAAAAAAAUAUUGUGGAAUUUGUGGGCUCUCCACUGAUUGACUAGAGGAAGGAGAAGAAAGGUGAACUUGUGAAUGGAAAACUGUUCAGAGUAAAUCCAAGGUUCCAGGAAAAUAAUAAACUAUUAAUGUGUA
Molecule: long non-coding RNA, 1691 nt
Organism: Centrocercus urophasianus (Greater sage-grouse)
Lineage: Eukaryota; Metazoa; Chordata; Aves; Galliformes; Phasianidae
Exons: 3
Source: RefSeq, a predicted model, not a curated record